GGGUAGUUUGACUGGGGCGGUCUCCUCCCAAAGAGUAACGGAGGAGCACGAAGGUUAGCUAAUCCUGGUCGGACAUCAGGAGGUUAGUGCAAUGGCAUAAGCUAGCUUGACUGCGAGCGUGACGGCGCGAGCAGGUGCGAAAGCAGGUCAUAGUGAUCCGGUGGUUCUGAAUGGAAGGGCCAUCGCUCAACGGAUAAAAGGUACUCCGGGGAUAACAGGCUGAUACCGCCCAAGAGUUCAUAUCGACGGCGGUGUUUGGCACCUCGAUGUCGGCUCAUCACAUCCUGGGGCUGAAGUAGGUCCCAAGGGUAUGGCUGUUCGCCAUUUAAAGUGGUACGCGAGCUGGGUUUAGAACGUCGUGAGACAGUUCGGUCCCUAUCUGCCGUGGGCGCUGGAGAAUUGAGGGGGGCUGCUCCUAGUACGAGAGGACCGGAGUGGACGCAUCACUGGUGUUCGGGUUGUCAUGCCAAUGGCACUGCCCGGUAGCUAAAUGCGGAAGAGAUAAGUGCUGAAAGCAUCUAAGCACGAAACUUGCCCCGAGAUGAGUUCUCCCUGAGACUUUAAGUCUCCUGAAGGAACGUUGAAGACGACGACGUUGAU
Molecule: ribosomal RNA, 600 nt
Filed under: Klebsiella variicola
Lineage: Bacteria; Pseudomonadati; Pseudomonadota; Gammaproteobacteria; Enterobacterales; Enterobacteriaceae
Description: partial 23S ribosomal RNA
Rfam family: Bacterial large subunit ribosomal RNA
Source: RNAcentral